CCUUUUUUAUUAUUUAUAUUUUUAGCUGAAAAGACAUAAAGGCAGUCAGCCCAGUGGUGUUUCUGGAGAGGGAUUCCUUCAGAAAUGGAGAAGACAGAAAGCUGCGGAGGCAGAUAUUUGCAGCAGUCUAAAAUAUCAAGCUCAACAGCUCACUCAAGAGCCAACCCUCACAAACCUUCCUAAAAACUAAAAGAGCUAUUACUGAGUCUCAGCGAAUCUUGCCAUGAUCAGCUCUUCCCAGAAGAGAAGGAAGACCAAGGAAAUUAUUUGCUCAGGAUGAGAAAUGAAGACGGCCAUCUUGUGCUCAAACAAACAGAAGUCCUUUGAUGAUCUCAUCAGCCAAAUGAGGGGUUUUGACCAAGUGAUGCUCUUGAAAGGAGAGAAAGAAGAGGAUGUUGUAAAUUCUCUUCAGAGAAAAAGCUUCUCAAAAGGUCUUAAAGCAGCUUGAAGAAUGGUAAGUGUACAGUACUACAAGGGUCAUAGUUACUCACCCUGCUAAAACCACACAGAACAUAAGCUGCGCUCUCUGUCCAUUAAACAACUUCUUCUGCAUUGUGUGUU
RNAcentral lists this long non-coding RNA (561 nucleotides) under Carassius auratus (goldfish). Its description in RNAcentral is "lncRNA (ENSCARG00000016938.1)". Lineage: Eukaryota; Metazoa; Chordata; Actinopteri; Cypriniformes; Cyprinidae. The record is from RNAcentral.